Molecule: small nucleolar RNA, 206 nt
Organism: Manis javanica (Malayan pangolin)
Lineage: Eukaryota; Metazoa; Chordata; Mammalia; Pholidota; Manidae
Product: small nucleolar RNA U3
Source: RefSeq, a predicted model, not a curated record
AAGACUGUACUUUCUGGGAUCAUUUUUCUAGUUCAUUACUAGAGAAGUUUCUCUGAAUGUACAGCAUCCAAAACCAUGGGAAAGGAGGCUCUGUUCUCUCCUGAGCACGAAGCUGGCUCUUGGUGUUGCUUCUCCAACUGUGACCUGCCAUUUAUGAGCCUUCUCUCCCUUGGAGGGGGAGGGGGAGAGAACACAGUCCAAGUGGU